UACGUAGGGAGCAAGCGUUGUCCGGAAUCAUUGGGCGUAAAGCGCGCGUAGGCGGCCUCAUAAGUCCGUUGUGAAAGUUAAAGGCUCAACCUUUGAAAGCCGAUGGAUACUGUGAGGCUAGAGUCCGGAAGAGGCGAGUGGAAUUCCUGGUGUAGCGGUGGAGUGCGCAGAUAUCAGGAGGAACACCAAUAGCGAAGGCAGCUCGCUGGGACGGUACUGACGCUAAGGCGCGAAAGCGUGGGGAGCGAACAGG
This 253-nucleotide ribosomal RNA is filed under the name uncultured bacterium. RNAcentral's name for it is "partial 16S ribosomal RNA". It matches the Rfam family "Bacterial small subunit ribosomal RNA", at positions 524 to 776 of the family's 1533-position model. The record is from RNAcentral.